UACGGAGGGUGCAAGCGUUAUCCGGAUUCACUGGGUUUAAAGGGUGCGUAGGCGGGCAGGUAAGUCAGUGGUGAAAUCUUCGAGCUUAACUCGGAAACUGCCUUUGAUACUAUCUGUCUUGAAUAUGGUGGAGGUAAGCGGAAUAUGUCAUGUAGCGGUGAAAUGCUUAGAGAUGACAUAGAACACCCAUUGCGAAGGCAGCUUACUACGCCUAUAUUGACGCUGAGGCACGAAAGCGUGGGGAUCAAACAGG
RNAcentral lists this ribosomal RNA (253 nucleotides) under uncultured bacterium. Its description in RNAcentral is "partial 16S ribosomal RNA". It matches the Rfam family "Bacterial small subunit ribosomal RNA", at positions 524 to 776 of the family's 1533-position model. The record is from RNAcentral.